GACGAACGCUGGCGGCGUGCUUAACACAUGCCAGUCGAACGGAAAGUCCUCUUUCGGGGGGUACUCGAGUGGCGAACGGGUGGGAAACACGUGAGUAAUCUGCCCUUGACUUUGGGAUGACUUCAGGAAACUGGGGCUAAUUUCGGAUAGGAGCUCCUGCUGCUUGGGGGGGGUUGGCAUGGUUCGGCGGUUGCGGCUGGGUUCACGGCUUAUCAGCUUGUUGGUGGGGUAGGGGCUGACAAAGGCUUUGACGGGUAUCCGUCCUGGGAGUGAGACCGGCCACAGUGAGACUGAGAUACGGCCCAGACUCCUACGGGAGGCAGCAGUGGGGAAUGUUGCACUAUGGGUAUAAGCCUGAUGCAGCAACGCCGUUGGCGUGAUGACGGCCUUCGGGUUGUAAUCCUCUUGCUCUCAUGACGAAGCUUUUUGUGACGGUAGUGGGUAAAGAAGCACCGGCUAACUCCGUG
Molecule: ribosomal RNA, 467 nt
Filed under: uncultured bacterium
Lineage: Bacteria
Description: partial 16S ribosomal RNA
Rfam family: Bacterial small subunit ribosomal RNA
Source: RNAcentral